CGCGUGGGAAUCUACCUAGUAGUGGGGGACGAACAGUUGGAACGACUGCUAAUACCGCAUACGCCUACGGGGAAAGGCCGGGAGUCUUCGGACCGGUCGCUAUUGGAUGAGCCUGCGUAAGAUUAGCUUGUUGGUGGGGUAAUGGCCUACCAAGGCGACGAUCUUUAGCUGGUCUGAGAGGAUGAUCAGCCACACUGGAACUGAGACACGGUCCAGACUCCUACGGGAGGCAGCAGUGGGGAAUAUUGCACAAUGGGCGAAAGCCUGAUGCAGCCAUGCCGCGUGUGUGAAGAAGGCUCU
This 300-nucleotide ribosomal RNA is filed under the name uncultured Alteromonadaceae bacterium. RNAcentral describes it as "bacterial SSU rRNA". It matches the Rfam family "Bacterial small subunit ribosomal RNA", at positions 114 to 418 of the family's 1533-position model. Lineage: Bacteria; Pseudomonadati; Pseudomonadota; Gammaproteobacteria; Alteromonadales; Alteromonadaceae. The record is from RNAcentral.